This 809-nucleotide ribosomal RNA is filed under the name uncultured bacterium. RNAcentral's name for it is "bacterial SSU rRNA". It matches the Rfam family "Bacterial small subunit ribosomal RNA", at positions 8 to 796 of the family's 1533-position model. The record is from RNAcentral.
AGAGUUUGAUCAUGGCUCAGAACGAACGCUGGCGGCGUGCUUAACACAUGCAAGUCGAACGCGAAAGGGACUUCGGUCCUGAGUAAAGUGGCGCACGGGUGAGUAACGCGUAGAUAACCUGUCUUCGUGUCUGGAAUAAUACGCCGAAAGGGGUACUAAUACCGGAUAUUCUUGCUUUAUAUAAGUUUUGCAAGCAAAGGUGGCCUCUGACAUAAGCUACUGCAUGAAGAGGGGUCUGCGUACCAUUAGCUAGUAGGUGGGGUAAAGGCCUACCUAGGCAACGAUGGUUAGCGGGUCUGAGAGGAUGAUCCGCCACACUGGCACUGGAACACGGGCCAGACUCCUACGGGAGGCAGCAGUGAGGAAUAUUGCGCAAUGGGGGCAACCCUGACGCAGCGACGCCGCGUGAGUGAGGAAGGCCUUCGGGUCGUAAAGCUCUGUCAAAGGGAAAGAAAUGUAUAAUGGCUAAUACCUGUUAUAUUUGACGGUACCCUUAAAGGAAGCACCGGCUAACUCCGUGCCAGCAGCCGCGGUAAUACGGAGGGUGCAAGCGUUGUUCGGAAUUACUGGGCGUAAAGGGCGCGUAGGCGGUUUGAUAAGUCAGAUGUGAAAGCCCACGGCUUAACUGUGGAAGUGCAUUUGAAACUGUCAGACUUGAGUACCAGAGGGGAAAGUGGAAUUCCCGGUGUAGAGGUGAAAUUCGUAGAUAUCGGGAGGAAUACCGGUGGCGAAGGCGACUUUCUGGCUGGAUACUGACGCUGAGGCGCGAAAGCGUGGGGAGCAAACAGGAUUAGAUACCCUGGUAGUCC